UGGGUUGUGGCUCAGUGGUAGAGUGCUUGCCUGUUACACGUGAGGCACUGGGUUCGAACCUCAGUACCACAU
Molecule: non-coding RNA, 72 nt
Organism: Ictidomys tridecemlineatus (thirteen-lined ground squirrel)
Lineage: Eukaryota; Metazoa; Chordata; Mammalia; Rodentia; Sciuridae
Source: Rfam